AUUGAACGCUGGCGGCAGGCUUAACACAUGCAAGUCGAGCGGAAACGGAGGUAGCUUGCUACCAGACGUCGAGCGGCGAACGGGUGAGUAACGCGUAGGAAUCUACCUAGUAGAGGGGGAUAGCCCGGGGAAACUCGGAUUAAUACCGCAUACGCCCUAAGGGGGAAAGCAGGGGAUCUUCGGACCUUGCGCUAUUAGAUGAGCCUGCGUCGGAUUAGCUAGUUGGUAGGGUAAAGGCCUACCAAGGCGACGAUCCGUAGCUGGUCUGAGAGGAUGAUCAGCCACACUGGAACUGAGACACGGUCCAGACUCCUACGGGAGGCAGCAGUGGGGAAUAUUGGACAAUGGGGGCAACCCUGAUCCAGCCAUGCCGCGUGUGUGAAGAAGGCCUUCGG
This 395-nucleotide ribosomal RNA is filed under the name uncultured bacterium. RNAcentral describes it as "bacterial SSU rRNA". It matches the Rfam family "Bacterial small subunit ribosomal RNA", at positions 30 to 421 of the family's 1533-position model. The record is from RNAcentral.